Non-coding RNA from Armillaria borealis, 79 nucleotides. The record is from the annotation of a GenBank genome assembly. NCBI's taxonomy places the organism in Eukaryota, Fungi, Basidiomycota, Agaricomycetes, Agaricales, Physalacriaceae.
GGCCGUGUGGCGUAAUGGCAACGCGUCUGACUACGAAGAACUAAUCAGGAGAUUGCAGGUUCGACCCCUGUCUCGGUCA